UGGGGAAUAUUGCACAAUGGGCGCAAGCCUGAUGCAGCGACGCCGCGUGAGGGAUGACGGCCUUCGGGUUGUAAACCUCUUUCAGUAGGGGACAAGGCCUCCUUUUUGGGGGGUUGAGGGUACCUGCAGAAGAAGCGCCGGCUAACUACGUGCCAGCAGCCGCGGUAAUACGUAGGGCGCAAGCGUUGUCCGGAAUUAUUGGGCGUAAAGAGCUCGUAGGCGGUUUGUCGCGUCUGCUGUGAAAACGCGGGGCUUAACCCUGCGCCUGCAGUGGGUACGGGCAGACUUGAGUGCGGUAGGGGAGACUGGAAUUCCUGGUGUAGCGGUGGAAUGCGCAGAUAUCAGGAGGAACACCGGUGGCGAAGGCGGGUCUCUGGGCCGUUAC
Molecule: ribosomal RNA, 385 nt
Filed under: uncultured bacterium
Lineage: Bacteria
Description: bacterial SSU rRNA
Rfam family: Bacterial small subunit ribosomal RNA
Source: RNAcentral